UUAAGUUAUUAAGGGCGCACGGUGGAUGCCUUGGCACUAGAAGCCGAUGAAGGACGUUACUAACGACGAUAUGCUUUGGGGAGCUGUAAGUAAGCUUUGAUCCAGAGAUUUCCGAAUGGGGAAACCCAGCAUGAGUUAUGUCAUGUUAUCGAUAUGUGAAUACAUAGCAUAUCAGAAGGCACACCCGGAGAACUGAAACAUCUUAGUACCCGGAGGAAGAGAAAGAAAAUUCGAUUCCCUUAGUAGCGGCGAGCGAAAUGGGAAGAGCCCAAACCAACAAGCUUGCUUGUUGGGGUUGUAGGACACUCUAUACGGAGUUACAAAGGACGACAUUAGACGAAUCAUCUGGAAAGAUGAAUCAAAGAAGGUAAUAAUCCUGUAGUCGAAAAUGUUGUCUCUCUUGAGUGGAUCCUGAGUACGACGGAGCACGUGAAAUUCCGUCGGAAUCUGGGAGGACCAUCUCCUAAGGCUAAAUACUCUCUAGUGACCGAUAGUGAACCAGUACCGUGAGGGAAAGGUGAAAAGCACCCCGGAAGGGGAGUGAAAUAGAACCUGAAACCGUGUGCUUACAAGUAGUCAGAGCCCGUUAAUGGGUGAUGGCGUGCCUUUUGUAGAAUGAACCGGCGAGUUACGAUUUGAUGCAAGGUUAAGCAGUAAAUGUGGAGCCGUAGCGAAAGCGAGUCUGAAUAGGGCGUUUAGUAUUUGGUCGUAGACCCGAAACCAGGUGAUCUACCCUUGGUCAGGUUGAAGUUCAGGUAACACUGAAUGGAGGACCGAACCGACUUACGUUGAAAAGUGAGCGGAUGAACUGAGGGUAGCGGAGAAAUUCCAAUCGAACCUGGAGAUAGCUGGUUCUCUCCGAAAUAGCUUUAGGGCUAGCCUCAAGUGAUGAUUAUUGGAGGUAGAGCACUGUUUGGACGAGGGGCCCCUCUCGGGUUACCGAAUUCAGACAAACUCCGAAUGCCAAUUAAUUUAACUUGGGAGUCAGAACAUGGGUGAUAAGGUCCGUGUUCGAAAGGGAAACAGCCCAGACCACCAGCUAAGGUCCCAAAAUAUAUGUUAAGUGGAAAAGGAUGUGGCGUUGCCCAGACAACUAGGAUGUUGGCUUAGAAGCAGCCAUCAUUUAAAGAGUGCGUAAUAGCUCACUAGUCGAGUGACACUGCGCCGAAAAUGUACCGGGGCUAAACAUAUUACCGAAGCUGUGGAUUGUCCUUUGGACAAUGGUAGGAGAGCGUUCUAAGGGCGUUGAAGCAUGAUCGUAAGGACAUGUGGAGCGCUUAGAAGUGAGAAUGCCGGUGUGAGUAGCGAAAGACGGGUGAGAAUCCCGUCCACCGAUUGACUAAGGUUUCCAGAGGAAGGCUCGUCCGCUCUGGGUUAGUCGGGUCCUAAGCUGAGGCCGACAGGCGUAGGCGAUGGAUAACAGGUUGAUAUUCCUGUACCACCUAUAAUCGUUUUAAUCGAUGGGGGGACGCAGUAGGAUAGGCGAAGCGUGCGAUUGGAUUGCACGUCUAAGCAGUAAGGCUGAGUAUUAGGCAAAUCCGGUACUCGUUAAGGCUGAGCUGUGAUGGGGAGAAGACAUUGUGUCUUCGAGUCGUUGAUUUCACACUGCCGAGAAAAGCCUCUAGAUAGAAAAUAGGUGCCCGUACCGCAAACCGACACAGGUAGUCAAGAUGAGAAUUCUAAGGUGAGCGAGCGAACUCUCGUUAAGGAACUCGGCAAAAUGACCCCGUAACUUCGGGAGAAGGGGUGCUCUUUAGGGUUAACGCCCAGAAGAGCCGCAGUGAAUAGGCCCAAGCGACUGUUUAUCAAAAACACAGGUCUCUGCUAAACCGUAAGGUGAUGUAUAGGGGCUGACGCCUGCCCGGUGCUGGAAGGUUAAGAGGAGUGGUUAGCUUCUGCGAAGCUACGAAUCGAAGCCCCAGUAAACGGCGGCCGUAACUAUAACGGUCCUAAGGUAGCGAAAUUCCUUGUCGGGUAAGUUCCGACCCGCACGAAAGGCGUAACGAUUUGGGCACUGUCUCAACGAGAGACUCGGUGAAAUCAUAGUACCUGUGAAGAUGCAGGUUACCCGCGACAGGACGGAAAGACCCCGUGGAGCUUUACUGUAGCCUGAUAUUGAAAUUCGGCACAGCUUGUACAGGAUAGGUAGGAGCCUUUGAAACGUGAGCGCUAGCUUACGUGGAGGCGCUGGUGGGAUACUACCCUAGCUGUGUUGGCUUUCUAACCCGCACCACUUAUCGUGGUGGGAGACAGUGUCAGGCGGGCAGUUUGACUGGGGCGGUCGCCUCCUAAAAGGUAACGGAGGCGCUCAAAGGUUCCCUCAGAAUGGUUGGAAAUCAUUCAUAGAGUGUAAAGGCAUAAGGGAGCUUGACUGCGAGACCUACAAGUCGAGCAGGGUCGAAAGACGGACUUAGUGAUCCGGUGGUUCCGCAUGGAAGGGCCAUCGCUCAACGGAUAAAAGCUACCCCGGGGAUAACAGGCUUAUCUCCCCCAAGAGUUCACAUCGACGGGGAGGUUUGGCACCUCGAUGUCGGC
Molecule: ribosomal RNA, 2535 nt
Filed under: Staphylococcus aureus F77942
Lineage: Bacteria; Bacillati; Bacillota; Bacilli; Caryophanales; Staphylococcaceae
Also listed under: 1 other name
Description: bacterial LSU rRNA
Rfam family: Bacterial large subunit ribosomal RNA
Source: RNAcentral